Molecule: ribosomal RNA, 491 nt
Filed under: uncultured bacterium
Lineage: Bacteria
Description: partial 16S ribosomal RNA
Rfam family: Bacterial small subunit ribosomal RNA
Source: RNAcentral
AGUGAACGCUGGCGGUAGGCCUAACACAUGCAAGUCGAACGGCAGCACAGUAAGAGCUUGCUCUUACGGGUGGCGAGUGGCGGACGGGUGAGGAAUACAUCGGAAUCUACUUUUUCGUGGGGGAUAACGUAGGGAAACUUACGCUAAUACCGCAUACGACCUACGGGUGAAAGCAGGGGAUCUUCGGACCUUGCGCGAUUGAAUGAGCCGAUGUCGGAUUAGCUAGUUGGCGGGGUAAAGGCCCACCAAGGCGACGAUCCGUAGCUGGUCUGAGAGGAUGACCACCCACACGGAAACGGGAAAAGGUCCCAGCUCCCUACGGGAGGAAGCAGUGGGAAAUAUUGGACAAGGGGCGAAAGCUUGACCCAGCCUAACGGGGUGGGUGAAGAAGGCCUUCGGGUGUUAAAGCCCUUUUGUUGGGAAAGAAAAGCAGCAGGUUAAUACCCCGCUGUUCUGACGGUACCAAAAGAAUAAGCACGGGCUACCUUCGU